CCAAUAGCGUAUAUUAAAGUUGUUGCAGUUAAAAAGCUCGUAGUUGAAUUUCGGGGUUAGUAGGUUGGUCAUGCCUCUGGUAUGUACUGGUCUCACUGAUUCCUCCUUCCUGAUGAGCCGUAAUGCCAUUAAUUUGGUGUUGCGGGGAAUUUGGACUGUCACUUUGAAAAAAUUAGAGUGUUUAAAGCAAGCUAACGCUUGAAUACAUUAGCAUGGAAUAAUGAAAUAGGACGUUCGAUCCUAUUUUGUUGGUUUCUAGGAUUGACGUAAUGAUUAAUAGGGAUAGUUGGGGGCAUUAGUAUUCAAUUGUCAGAGGUGAAAUUCUUGGAUUUAUUGAAGACUAACUACUGCGAAAGCAUUUGCCAAGGAUGUUUUCAUUAAUCAAGAACGAAAGUUAGGGGAUCGAAGACGAUCAGAUACCGUCGUAGUCUUAACCAUAAACUAUGCCGACUAGGGAUCGGAUGAUGUUAAUUUUUUAAUGACUCAUUCGACGCCUUACG
This 500-nucleotide ribosomal RNA is filed under the name uncultured Glomeromycotina. RNAcentral's name for it is "partial small subunit ribosomal RNA". It matches the Rfam family "Eukaryotic small subunit ribosomal RNA", at positions 591 to 1092 of the family's 1831-position model. The record is from RNAcentral. Lineage: Eukaryota; Fungi; Glomeromycota.